This is a long non-coding RNA of Musa acuminata AAA Group (dessert banana), 1222 nucleotides long. RefSeq lists it as uncharacterized. The transcript is spliced from 2 exons. Lineage: Eukaryota; Viridiplantae; Streptophyta; Magnoliopsida; Zingiberales; Musaceae. The record is from RefSeq and is a predicted model, not a curated record.
UGUCAAUUGCACGAAGGUGUGACACGUCGAUGAAUGCAGCGUGGUGUUUCGACCGCCGUUUCGCCCGAACCGGCACGAAACGGGCGAUACGUACCGGUCCGGGUGUGAACCGCUACACGGACGGCCUCCGAUUCGGGCGGUCCGCCUUGACCCAUUAACUGGAGCUUUUAGGGCCCGCAUUCGCGCCACCACUUCGCCGGAACGCGAGUGCGUCUUGCCUCGUGCUACCGCCCGUCGCUGCUCGCCGUCGACGGUACGCUUCCUCCUCCUCCUCUUCUUCCUUCCACCUCUUCCUCCACUCCUCUUCGAAACAUCGCCCAUGUACCGGUGUUUCGUGUGUCAGUGGUCUGGCUUUGUCCCUCUUUGAGUUUGCGAAGGGUGUCAAACUGGCCCUUGGCAAGGCAAUAGAGUUUCUGAACGGUGUCACCAAAAGCUUCCCUCGCCAGAACAAAUGAGGGAGGAGCGGGGGAGCGAUGGAGAUCGGAAGAGGAAGAACAAGCAGACAAGAUUACAGGAAGAGCAAAGGUAUCUGUUUGACAUUGCUACUCUUCUUCCUUGGAUGUACUCCGGAUCCGGGUUUAGAGGAGGGGCUUCUGGUUGAAGGGCUUCCUUUUGUUUGGUUUAUAAUGUUACCAAAUUCUUGGAGGAACAAUGUGGAGGAGACGAUGAUUUAUUGACGGCCAUCAGUACAUCCUUCUCUAUUAAGAACAGUAGAAAAUCCAUUUUCAUCUUCUUGGAUUUGAAGAAAGGAUUCAACUGAUAAUUUUGAAGAGGUUGGGUUGGAUAGAGCACUUAUUACAAGGGCAACUAUCAAUGAGCACUGUCAAUGAGAUGCAGCAACAAUCCUUUCCAAGAUCAAGACACUCGAAUUCAUCAUAACUUCAGUUUUUGUUUCCACUCGCAAUCUUGGGAUGAGCUACUGCCAUCAGAGUUAUACACUAAAUCAGCUUAAAAUCUUUUGAUGCGCUUGCAAUGUUAAGCUGGUGGUAGUUGUACACGUCAAAAGUCAUUUCCUUGUUCCUCAUUCAUAAAAGCUUUUGACAACAAAACCUUUCGCCAUUAAGCUUUGCUGUAGUGAACUGUACCUGAGAAACAUAAAAGUUGCUCGAGGUUCUGCCUCGCCAUUUCCUUCACUCGUGCACUUUCUAAUCUUCAUUGUACAUGUAUAGAACUCAAACAUGAUGUGGCCUAUGGACCUGAUGAUGAUGUUGCUCUUUUCCCA